Rhodamnia argentea is the source of this 312-nucleotide long non-coding RNA. RefSeq lists it as uncharacterized. The transcript is spliced from 3 exons. NCBI's taxonomy places the organism in Eukaryota, Viridiplantae, Streptophyta, Magnoliopsida, Myrtales, Myrtaceae. The record is from RefSeq and is a predicted model, not a curated record.
CUGGUUGUACGGAGGUAUCCAUUUCAAUACCUUUAUCAGAUUUUCAGUCAUCAACUCGUGAAAGGGUAAUUAAAAAGUGCAUGUAAAACUUCUCUGUUCAUAUCUGUGAAAGAAUUUGAUUGCAGAAAAGGGAAAAUCUUAUUAUCAAAUAAGUUACCUCAAUUUGUUUAAAGUUUGAACACAAGGAAACAAUUUGUGGCCGUAGAUCAAGAAGCUUUCAAGAGAACGUGCACUUAUUCCCCAUCUUCUCUCUCAGAUUUCACAUUCAGAUUCAUGGUCUUCUCCCUCAAAUCAGAUUCAAAUUAGUCGUCU